UUGAGAAUAUGAUUUUCUAUCCUAAAAUACAGUGCUACGUGAAAUUAUUAAAUGUAUCGUUGUUGUUUUGAAUUGAUUGUGCCUCAUUCAGUAUUUAGUAGUGAUAUUUUACAGACACACACACAAUGCUUGAUACGGGAUUUGCUAGCAAAUGAAGCAGGAUAGUUUUAAUUGGAGAUUGUGUUUUUGAUGACGUCGCUUUGUGUAAUCUUCACUCUCCCAUAACUCCCUCUAUCUCCUCAUGGUUGUGGACUCUAACCUUCCGUCUUAAAAGUACGACCCUGCAGAGAUGCUGUGUGCAGUGUUCUGGGAGAGCAGUUACUCUGACAUACUGGUCUCCAUCCUCUGUGCUUUCUCCAUCUGCAUCUCCCUCCCCUUCCUCAUCUGCUCUCUCUUCACUGCUGCUGGCUGUGGGAGGAACUGCGACAGUGACCCAGAUGACCUCACCUGUCACUCCUCUGAUGGUUGCCUUCUAUCUGCUCUCUCCCCUGAAGCCAAUGGUUAUUUUUGACCCCUCUCACCACAGCGGAUUCUCCUGGGUAGACUGGACCUAUCCCCUGCACCUGAUUGGCUGAGAACCCUGUCGUCGGUUAUGUCCUACCUAGACUUCGGAUUGAACUCCAUCUACUGUGCCAAUCAGGACUUCCGGGAGGCGGGAUUUGCUCUGUUCUGGACCAGUAGGAAGUUGUUAAUUCUCUGAGCAUGUGCUGACAAGCAUGACGAAGUUGGAAUU
This is a non-coding RNA of Salvelinus sp. IW2-2015, 733 nucleotides long. The record is from RefSeq and is a predicted model, not a curated record. Lineage: Eukaryota; Metazoa; Chordata; Actinopteri; Salmoniformes; Salmonidae.